GCCUACGGGGCGCAGCAGUAGGGAAUUUUCGUCAAUGGGCGCAAGCCUGAACGAGCAAUGCCGCGUGAACGAGGAAGGUCCUCGGAUCGUAAAGUUCUGUUGAAGGGGAAAAAGAGCGGAGAGAGGAAAUGGUCUCCGAUUGAUAUUACCCUUCGAGGAAGUCACGGCUAACUACGUGCCAGCAGCCGCGGUAAUACGUAGGUGGCGAGCGUUAUCCGGAAUGAUUGGGCGUAAAGGGUGCGUAGGCGGCCUGCUAAGUCUGGGGUGAAAGGUACCGGCUCAACCGGUACAGGCUCUGGAAACUG
RNAcentral lists this ribosomal RNA (305 nucleotides) under uncultured bacterium. RNAcentral's name for it is "bacterial SSU rRNA". It matches the Rfam family "Bacterial small subunit ribosomal RNA", at positions 337 to 635 of the family's 1533-position model. The record is from RNAcentral.